This 254-nucleotide ribosomal RNA is filed under the name uncultured prokaryote. RNAcentral describes it as "partial 16S ribosomal RNA". It matches the Rfam family "Bacterial small subunit ribosomal RNA", at positions 525 to 777 of the family's 1533-position model. The record is from RNAcentral.
ACGAACCGUGCGAACGUUAUUCGGAAUCACUGGGCUUAAAGCGCGUGUAGGCGGGUGACCGCGUCGGUCGCUGAAAGCCCCCGGCUCAACCGGGGGACGGGCGCCGAAACGGGUCGCCUGGAGGGGCGUAGGGGGACCUGGAACUUCCGGUGGAGCGGUGAAAUGCGUUGAGAUCGGAAGGAACGCCCGUGGCGAAAGCGAGGUCCUGGACGCCAUCUGACGCUGAGACGCGAAAGCCAGGGGAGCGAACGGGA